RNAcentral lists this ribosomal RNA (466 nucleotides) under Austropotamobius torrentium (stone crayfish). RNAcentral describes it as "partial large subunit ribosomal RNA". It matches the Rfam family "Bacterial large subunit ribosomal RNA", at positions 1912 to 2597 of the family's 2925-position model. The record is from RNAcentral. Lineage: Eukaryota; Metazoa; Arthropoda; Malacostraca; Decapoda; Astacidae.
UUGAGAUUUAAAAGGCCGCGGUAUUAUGACCGUGCUAAGGUAGCAUAAUCAUUAGUCUUUUAAUUGGAGGCUGGAAUGAAUGGUCGGACAAGAGAUAAGCUGUCUUAAGUGAAAAUAUUGAAUUUAACUUUUAAGUGAAAAGGCUUAAAUUUUCUAAGGGGACGAUAAGACCCUAUAAAACUUUAUAUUUUAAAAUAAUAAUUAAUUUUGUAUGGUAGUUUUAUUUUUAAGUAUUUUAUUGGGGUGAUAAAGAUAAAAUAACAAAUAACUGUCUUUUUUUUUAUUACAAUAAUAUUUGGGUAAAUGAACCUGGUAAGGGAAAUAAGAUUAAGUUACUUUAGGGAUAACAGCGUAAUUUUUUUUAAGAGUUCUUAUCGACAAGAAAGUUUGCGACCUCGAUGUUGAAUUAAAAGUUCUUUAUAGAGCAGAAACUAUAAAAGAAGGUCUGUUCGACCUUUAAAAUUUU